RNAcentral lists this ribosomal RNA (244 nucleotides) under uncultured Actinomycetes bacterium. RNAcentral's name for it is "uncultured actinobacterium partial 16S ribosomal RNA". It matches the Rfam family "Bacterial small subunit ribosomal RNA", at positions 28 to 276 of the family's 1533-position model. Lineage: Bacteria; Bacillati; Actinomycetota; Actinomycetes. The record is from RNAcentral.
GACGAACGCUGGCGGCGUGCUUAACACAUGCAAGUCGAACGAUGAAGCCUUUUGGGGUGGAUUAGUGGCGAACGGGUGAGUAACACGUGGGCAAUCUGCCCUGUACAUUGGGAUAAGCCUUGGAAACGAGGUCUAAUACCGGAUAUGACUGGCCUUCGCAUGGGGGUUGGUUGAAAGUUCUGGCGGUACAGGAUGAGCCCGCGGCCUAUCAGCUUGUUGGUGGGGUAAUGGCCUACCAAGGCGA